This 497-nucleotide ribosomal RNA is filed under the name uncultured bacterium. RNAcentral's name for it is "partial 16S ribosomal RNA". It matches the Rfam family "Bacterial small subunit ribosomal RNA", at positions 28 to 507 of the family's 1533-position model. The record is from RNAcentral.
GAUGAACGCUGGCGGCGUGCCUAAUACAUGCAAGUCGAGCGAACAGAUGAGGAGCUUGCUCCUCUGACGUUAGCGGCGGACGGGUGAGUAACACGUGGAUAACCUACCUAUAAGACUGGGAUAACUUCGGGAAACCGGAGCUAAUACCGGAUAAUAUAUUGAACCGCAUGGUUCAAUAGUGAAAGACGGUUUUGCUGUCACUUAUAGAUGGAUCCGCGCCGCAUUAGCUAGUUGGUAAGGUAACGGCUUACCAAGGCAACGAUGCGUAGCCGACCUGAGAGGCUGAUCGGCCGCACUGGAACUGAGACACGGUCCAGACUCCUACGGGAGGCACCAGUAGGGAAUCUUCCGCAAUGGGCGAAAGCCUGACGGAGCAACGCCGCGUGAGUGAUGAAGGUCUUCGGAUCGUAAAACUCUGUUAUUAGGGAAGAACAAAUGUGUAAGUAACUAUGCACGUCUUGACGGUACCUAAUCAGAAAGCCACGGCUAACUACGUG